AAUCAACGCUGGCGGCGUGCCUAACACAUGCAAGUCGAACGCGAAAGCCCCGCAAGGGGUAAGUAGAGUGGCAAACGGGUGAGUAACACGUGGGUGACCUGCCUUAGAGUCGGGGAUAACGUCCCGAAAGGGACGCUAAUACCGCAUAACAUCCUGCCUUUGAAGAGGUGAGAUCAAAGCCGGGGACCGCAAGGCCCGUGGCGCUAC
RNAcentral lists this ribosomal RNA (207 nucleotides) under uncultured bacterium. RNAcentral describes it as "partial 16S ribosomal RNA". It matches the Rfam family "Bacterial small subunit ribosomal RNA", at positions 32 to 221 of the family's 1533-position model. The record is from RNAcentral.